GAACGCUAGCUACAGGCUUAACACAUGCAAGUCGAGGGGCAGCAUGAUCAAAGCUGCUUGGUGAUGGCGACCGGCGCACGGGUGAGUAACGCGUAUCCAACCUUCCCUUAGUAGGGCAUAGCCCGUAGAAAUGCGGAUUAAUACCCUAUGUUGUUCGUAAAAGAGGACAUCUGAAAUGAACCAAAGGUUUACCGCUAAGGGAUGGGGAUGCGUCUGAUUAGGUAGUCGGCGGGGUAACGGCCCACCGAGCCUUCGAUCAGUAGGGGUUCUGAGAGGAAGGUCCCCCACAUUGGAACUGAGACACGGUCCAAACUCCUACGGGAGGCAGCAGUGAGGAAUAUUGGUCAAUGGGCGCGAGCCUGAACCAGCCAAGUAGCCGUGCAGGAUGACGGCCCUAUGGGUUGUAAACUGCUUUUAUACGGGGAUAAAGUAGGGAACGUGUUCCCUUUUGCAGGUACUGUAUGAAUAAGGACCGGCUAAUUCCGUGCCAGCCGCAGC
RNAcentral lists this ribosomal RNA (498 nucleotides) under uncultured bacterium. Its description in RNAcentral is "bacterial SSU rRNA". It matches the Rfam family "Bacterial small subunit ribosomal RNA", at positions 31 to 518 of the family's 1533-position model. The record is from RNAcentral.